Molecule: ribosomal RNA, 610 nt
Filed under: uncultured bacterium
Lineage: Bacteria
Description: bacterial SSU rRNA
Rfam family: Bacterial small subunit ribosomal RNA
Source: RNAcentral
ACAUAGGUAACCUGCCCCUGUGCGGGGGACAACAGGAGGAAACUCCUGCUAAUACCGCAUAGCCAUGGGCACCGCAUGGAGCUCAUGCCAAAUAUCCUUUCGGGGAUAGCGCAGGGAUGGACCUAUGGCGCAUUAGCUUGUUGGCGGGGCAACGGCCCACCAAGGCAACGAUGCGUAGCCGGCCUGAGAGGGCGGACGGCCACAUUGGGACUGAGACACGGCCCAGACUCCUACGGGAGGCAGCAGUAGGGAAUUUUCGGCAAUGGGGGAAACCCUGACCGAGCAACGCCGCGUGAGCGAAGAAGGCCUUCGGGUCGUAAAGCUCUGUUGUAAAGGAAGAACGGCGCAUACAGGAAAUGGUAUGCGAGUGACGGUACUUUACCAGAAAGCCACGGCUAACUACGUGCCAGCAGCCGCGGUAAUACGUAGGUGGCGAGCGUUAUCCGGAAUCAUUGGGCGUAAAGAGGGAGCAGGCGGCCGCAAGGGUCUGUGGUGAAAGACCGAAGCUAAACUUCGGUAAGCCAUGGAAACCGGGCGGCUAGAGUGCGGAAGAGGAUCGUGGAAUUCCAUGUGUAGCGGUGAAAUGCGUAGAUAUAUGGAGGAACACCAG